UGUGGGAGCGAGCCUGCUCGCGAUGACGGCGGUACAUUCAGCAUCGAUGCAAGCUGAACCACCGCUAUCGCGAGCAGGCUCGCUCCCACA
This 90-nucleotide unclassified non-coding RNA is filed under the name Pseudomonas mediterranea. The record is from RNAcentral. Lineage: Bacteria; Pseudomonadati; Pseudomonadota; Gammaproteobacteria; Pseudomonadales; Pseudomonadaceae.